This 727-nucleotide long non-coding RNA is filed under the name Nicotiana tabacum (common tobacco). Its description in RNAcentral is "long non-coding RNA (NTAB_LNC008654)". Lineage: Eukaryota; Viridiplantae; Streptophyta; Magnoliopsida; Solanales; Solanaceae. The record is from RNAcentral.
CUUCACAAAAUAAGAAGUUAAUUCUACAAAAAUCAACGAUCAUCAGUAUAAUAAAAUGGUCAACACUUUAUUUAUACUCUACUGUAUAAGUUUCGGUCUACCAUACAGGGUUCUUCUAAUUAUAUAUACAGUUAUUAUCUUUGUUUCUUCGUAAUCCAUUGACUUUGCUCAUCAGAAAGUCACCUCCAGUUAACACGAUAGUUUUUAUCCCUUUAACUUUUAUAACUGGUAAUUAAUAAACAUCAGACAACUGAAAAAUUCAACAAGUUAUCUAGUCUAAUCUUAAAAUUAAGGAUCAGACAAAGUAAUAACCUGUCAGGAAACGAGCACAGAGACGAAAAGCUGAACAGUGGAGAAGCGAAGCGAGAAAUAUCGACAGAAAACCCAAGCAGAACAGAGCGUAAUCCAGAAUUUAUUCAACUAUCAUAGCUAAACACUUCUAUAAACUGUCCAAUAUAACCUUAAAAGUAAACAUCAGAUUUGCCAGAAACAAGGGCAUCGAAGUAAUCUAACCUGAAGAGAUAAUGUUUAACCCCCAAAAUAUAUUGCUAAUCCCCAUGAAAACCUGAAGAGAUAAUGUUUAACCCCAAAAAUAUAUUGUUGGUCUCUGUGAAACACAGGUGUUUGCAAGGUAACAAAACAACUCAAAGCACCAAAAGCAAGAGGAUGUUGAUGUUACACGUCUGAGAGGAGAAAGAGCCGCGUAUGUAGAGAGAGAUAAAGACAC